UUCCUGUACCUUAAGUAAACAGAACUGUGGGGACACGUGUGGAGAGCACAAGCCGGAAAUGGAAAAGCCGGUGCAAGCGAGGUAGGAGUACAGUAGGCAAAUCCGCUGUACAAUCCGAAGACGUGAUGCGGACCGAAUUAAGAGUAGGGAAGUGUGUGAGCCAUGCGUCAAGAAAAGCCGCUAUUGUUUUACUUAAGCCCGUACCGUAAACCGACACAGGUGGAUGAGGAGAGAAUCCUAAGGCCGACGGGAGAAGCAUUGUUAAGGAACUCGGCAAAAUGACUCCGUAACUUCGGGAGAAGGAGUGCCAGCGAGAGCUGGCCGCAGAGAAUUGGCCCAAGCAACUGUUUAGCAAAAACACAGGUCUAUGCAAAACCGUAAGGUGAAGUAUAUGGGCUGACGCCUGCCCGGUGCUGGAAGGUUAAGAGGAGAGGUUAGCGGCAACGCGAAGCUUUGAAUUUAAGCCCCAGUAAACGGCGGCCGUAACUAUAACGGUCCUAAGGUAGCGAAAUUCCUUGUCGGGUAAGUUCCGACCCGCACGAAAGGCGUAAUGAUUUGGGCACUGUCUCAACAAUGCACCCGGUGAAAUUGAAAUACCAGUGAAGAUGCUGGUUACCUGCGCCAGGACGGAAAGACCCCAUGGAGCUUUACUCCAGCUUGAUACUGGGAUUCGGUAUUGCAUGUACAGGAUAGGUGGGAGGCUAGGAAGUGAUAACGCCAGUUGUCACGGAGCCGCUGUUGGGAUACCACCCUUGCAGUAUUGGAUUUCUAACCAGCGACCAUGAACUGGUCGGGGGACAAUGUCAGGUGGGGAGUUUGACUGGGGCGGUCGCCUCCGAAAGGGUAUCGGAGGCGCUCAAAGGUUCCCUCAGAAUGGACGGAAACCAUUCGAAGAGUGCAAAGGCAGAAGGGAGCUUGACUGCGACACCGACGCGUGGAGCAGGUACGAAAGUAGGACUUAGUGAUCCGGUGGUAUAAAGUGGGAUUGCCAUCGCUCAACGGAUAAAAGCUACCCUGGGAUAACAGGCUUAUCACUCCCAAGAGUUCACAUCGACGGAGUGGUUUGGCACCUCGAUGUCGGCUCAUCGCAUCCUGGGGCUGAAGUAGGUCCCAAGGGUUGGGCUGUUCGCCCAUUAAAGCGGUACGCGAGCCGGGUUCAGAACGUCGUGAGACAGUUCGGUCCCUAUCCGGCGCGGGCGUAGGAUAUUUGAGAGGAGCUGUCCUUAGUACGAGAGGACCGGGAUGGACUGGCCGCUGGUGUAUCUGUUGCAUACCAAAUGCAUGGCAGAGUAGCCAAGCCGGGACGGGAUAAACGCUGAAGGCAUCUAAGCGUGAAGCCCCCCUCAAGAUGAGAUAUCCCUACGUAAGUAGUAAGACCCCUUGAAGACGACGAGGUAGAUAGGUCAGAGGUGGAAGUACAGUAAUGUAUGGAGCUGACUGAUACUAAUCGGUCGAGGGCAUGAC
This 1464-nucleotide ribosomal RNA is filed under the name metagenome. Its description in RNAcentral is "bacterial LSU rRNA". It matches the Rfam family "Bacterial large subunit ribosomal RNA", at positions 1436 to 2925 of the family's 2925-position model. The record is from RNAcentral.